Small nuclear RNA from Fukomys damarensis (Damara mole-rat), 107 nucleotides. The record is from Ensembl. Lineage: Eukaryota; Metazoa; Chordata; Mammalia; Rodentia; Bathyergidae.
GUGCUCACUUCGGCAACACAUAUACCAAAAUCGGAACUAUACAGAGAAGAUUAGCACAGCCCCUGUGCAAGGGUGGCAUGUAAAUUUGUGAAGCGUUCCAUAUUAAA